CAGGGUCUAACGACUGCCCAAAACCAACCGUGCUCCUUUCCCUUUUUUCUUGCUUCGGUGAUCGCCUGCUGGGGAGGCCACCGGCCGGGCGUCAUGCCUGGUGGUUGCCGAAGCAUACCACUAUAAACUUUUACUUUGCAACGUAUCUUCUGAGAACUUUCUACAAAAGAACAAUCA
RNAcentral lists this unclassified non-coding RNA (177 nucleotides) under uncultured fungus. RNAcentral describes it as "sequence contains ITS1, 5.8S rRNA gene". Lineage: Eukaryota; Fungi. The record is from RNAcentral.